GACGAACGCUGGCGGCGUGCUUAACACAUGCAAGUCGAACGGUAAGGCCCUUCGGGGUACACGAGUGGCGAACGGGUGAGUAACACGUGGGUGAUCUGCCCUGCACUUCGGGAUAAGCCUGGGAAACUGGGUCUAAUACCGGAUAGGACCACUGCCUGCAUGGGGGGUGGUGGAAAGCUUUUGCGGUGUGGGAUGGGCCCGCGGCCUAUCAGCUUGUUGGUGGGGUGAUGGCCUACCAAGGCGACGACGGGUAGCCGGCCUGAGAGGGUGGCCGGCCACACUGGGACUGAGAUACGGCCCAGACUCCUACGGGAGGCAGCAGUGGGGAAUAUUGCACAAUGGGCGCAAGCCUGAUGCAGCGACGCCGCGUGAGGGAUGACGGCCUUCGGGUUGUAAACCUCUUUCAGCACCGACGAAGCGCAAGUGACGGUAGGUGCAGAAGAAGGACCGGCCAACUACGUGCCAGCCGCCGCGGUAA
RNAcentral lists this ribosomal RNA (478 nucleotides) under uncultured bacterium. Its description in RNAcentral is "partial 16S ribosomal RNA". It matches the Rfam family "Bacterial small subunit ribosomal RNA", at positions 28 to 523 of the family's 1533-position model. The record is from RNAcentral.